GAUGAAGAACGCAGCGAAAUGCGAUACGUAAUGUGAAUUGCAGAAUUCAGUGAAUCAUCGAGUCUUUGAACGCACAUUGCGCCCCCUGGUAUUCCGGGGGGCAUGCCUGUCCGAGCGUCAUUGCUGCCCUCAAGCACGGCUUGUGUGUUGGGCCCCCGUCCCCGGUUCUCCCCGGGGACGGGCCCGAAAGGCAGCGGCGGCACCGCGUCCGAUCCUCGAGCGUAUGGGGCUUUGUCACCCGCUCUGUAGGCCCGGCCGGCGCCAGCCGACACCCCAACUUUAUUUUCUAAGGUUGACCUCGGAUCAGGUAGGGAUACCCGCUGAACUUAAGCAUAUCAAUAAGCGGAGGA
RNAcentral lists this unclassified non-coding RNA (350 nucleotides) under soil metagenome. RNAcentral's name for it is "partial contains 5.8S ribosomal RNA, internal transcribed spacer 2, and large subunit ribosomal RNA". The stretch from base 1 to 120 matches the Rfam family "5.8S ribosomal RNA", at positions 35 to 154 of the family's 154-position model. The record is from RNAcentral.